GAUCAACCCUGGCGGCGUGGCUAAUGCAUGCGAGUCGAGCGAACGGACGAGAAGAUUGCUUCUCUGAUGUUAGCGGCGGACGGGGGAGUAACACGUGGAUAACCGACCUAUAAGACUGGGAUAACUUCGGGAAACCGGAGCUAAGACCGGGUAAUAGUUUGAACCGCAUGGUUCAAAAGUGAAAGACGGUCUUGCUGUCACUUAGAGAUGGAUCCGCGCUGCAUUAGCUAGUUGGUAAGGUAACGGCUUACCAAGGCAACGAUGCAUAGCCGACCUGAGAGGGUGAUCGGCCACACUGGAACUGAGACACGGUCCAGACUCCUACGGGAGGCAGCAGUAGGGAAUCUUCCGCAAUGGGCGAAAGCCUGACGGAGCAACGCCGCGUGCGUGAUGAAGGUCUUCGGAUCGUAAAACUCUGUUAUUAGGGAAGACCAUAUGUGUAAGUAACUGUGCACAUCUUGACGUUACCUAAUCAGAAAGCCACGGCUAAGUACGUG
Molecule: ribosomal RNA, 497 nt
Filed under: uncultured bacterium
Lineage: Bacteria
Description: partial 16S ribosomal RNA
Rfam family: Bacterial small subunit ribosomal RNA
Source: RNAcentral